RNAcentral lists this ribosomal RNA (497 nucleotides) under uncultured bacterium. RNAcentral's name for it is "partial 16S ribosomal RNA". It matches the Rfam family "Bacterial small subunit ribosomal RNA", at positions 28 to 507 of the family's 1533-position model. The record is from RNAcentral.
GAUGAACGCUGGCGGCGUGCCUAAUACAUGCAAGUCGAGCGAACGGACGAGAAGCUUGCUUCUCUGAUGUUAGCGGCGGACGGGUGAGUAACACGUGUAUAACCUACCUAUAAGUCUGGUAUAACUUCGGGAAACCGGAGCUAAUACCGGAUAAUAUUUUGAAGCGUAUGGGUCAAAAGUGAAAGACGGUCUUGCUGUCACUUAUAGAUGGAUCCGCGCUGCAUUAGCUAGUUGGUAAGGUAACGGCUUACCAAGGCAACGAUGCAUAGCCGACCUGAGAGGGUGAUCGGCCACACUGGAACUGAGACACGGUCCAGACUCCUACGGGAGGCAGCAGUAGGGAAUCUUCCGCAAUGGGCGAAAGCCUGACGGAGCAACGCCGCGUGAGUGAUGAAGGUCUUCGGAUCGUAAAACUCUGUUAUUAGGGAAGAACAUAUGUGUAAGUAACUGUGCACAUCUUGACGGUAACUAAUCAGAAAGCAACGGCUAACUACGUG